AUGGUGCCGAGUGGAAGGGCCGUCGCUCAACGGAUAAAAGUUACUCUAAGGAUAACAGGCUAAUCUUCCCAAGAGCUCACAUCGACGGGAAGGUUUGGCACCUCGAUGUCGGCUCUUCGCCACCUAGGGAUGUAGUAUGUUCCAAUGGUUGGGUUGUUCGCCCAUUAAAGCGGUAUGUAAGCUAGGUUCAAAACGUCGUGAGACAAUUCGAUCCAUAUCUGGUGUGGGCGUUAGAGCAUUGAGAGGACCUUUCCCUAGUACGAGAGGACCGGGAAUGACGCACCUCUGAUGUACCAGUUAUCGUGCCCACAGUAAGCGCUAGGUAGCCAAGUGCGGAGCGGAUAACUGCUGAAAGCAUCUAAGUAGUAAGCCCACCCCAAGAUGAGUGCUCUUCUAUUCCGACUUCCCUAGAGCCUCCGGUAGCACAGUCG
Molecule: non-coding RNA, 431 nt
Organism: Gossypium raimondii (Peruvian cotton)
Lineage: Eukaryota; Viridiplantae; Streptophyta; Magnoliopsida; Malvales; Malvaceae
Source: Rfam